UACGUAGGCAGCGAGCGUUGUUCGGAGUUACUGGGCGUAAAGCGUGCGUAGGCGGUUGUCUAAGUUUGGUGUGAAAUCUCCUAGCUUAACUGGGAGGGUGCGCCGAAAACUGGGUGACUGGAGUGUCGGAGAGGUAAGCGGAAUUCCUGGUGUAGCGGUGAAAUGCGUAGAGAUCAGGAGGAACACCUGUGGUGUAGACAGCUUACUGGACGAUAACUGACGCUGAGGCACGAAAGCGUGGGUAGCAAACAGG
This 253-nucleotide ribosomal RNA is filed under the name uncultured bacterium. RNAcentral's name for it is "partial 16S ribosomal RNA". It matches the Rfam family "Bacterial small subunit ribosomal RNA", at positions 524 to 776 of the family's 1533-position model. The record is from RNAcentral.